UGGGGAAUAUUGGACAAUGGGCGCAAGCCUGAUCCAGCCAUGCCGCGUGAGUGACGAAGGUCUUCGGAUUGUAAAACUCUUUUGGCGGGGACGAUAAUGACGGUACCCGCAGAAUAAGCCCCGGCUAACUUCGUGCCAGCAGCCGCGGUAAUACGAAGGGGGCUAGCGUUGUUCGGAAUCACUGGGCGUAAAGCGCACGUAGGCGGAUGUGCCAGUCAGGGGUGAAAUCCCGGAGCUCAACUCCGGAACUGCCUCUGAUACUGCACGUCUUGAGUUCGAGAGAGGUGGGUGGAAUUCCUAGUGUAGAGGUGAAAUUCGUAGAUAUUAGGAAGAACACCGGUGGCGAAGGCGGCCCACUGGCUCGAUACUGACGCUGAGGUGCGAAAGCGUGGGGAGCAAACAGGAUUAGAUACCCUAGUAGUCCCUGAG
Molecule: ribosomal RNA, 429 nt
Filed under: uncultured bacterium
Lineage: Bacteria
Description: bacterial SSU rRNA
Rfam family: Bacterial small subunit ribosomal RNA
Source: RNAcentral